AUUGAACGCUGGCGGCAGGCCUAACACAUGCCAGUCGAACGGUAACAGGAAGAAGCUUGCUUCUUUGCUGACGAGUGGCGGACGGGUGAGUAAUGUCUGGGAAACUGCCUGAUGGAGGGGGAUAACUACUGGAAACGGUAGCUAAUACCGCAUAACGUCGCAAGACCAAAGAGGGGGACCUUCGGGCCUCUUGCCAUCGGAUGUGCCCAGAUGGGAUUAGCUUGUUGGUGGGGUAACGGCUCACCAAGGCGACGAUCCCUAGCUGGUCUGAGAGGAUGACCAGCCACACUGGAACUGAGACACGGUCCAGACUCCUACGGGAGGCAGCAGUGGGGAAUAUUGCACAAUGGGCGCAAGCCUGAUGCAGCCAUGCCGCGUGUAUGAAGAAGGCCUUCGGGUUGUAAAGUACUUUCAGCGGGGAGGAAGGGAGUAAAGUUAAUACCUUUGCUCAUUGACGUUACCCGCAGAAGAAGCACCGGCUAACUCCGUG
This 490-nucleotide ribosomal RNA is filed under the name uncultured bacterium. RNAcentral's name for it is "partial 16S ribosomal RNA". It matches the Rfam family "Bacterial small subunit ribosomal RNA", at positions 30 to 507 of the family's 1533-position model. The record is from RNAcentral.